AAGUCGUAACAAGGUUUCCGUAGGUGAACCUGCGGAAGGAUCAUUAACACGUUUAUCCAACGUAUCAACCAACGAGAACUGUUUUCAAAUGCUCUCCGGAGGCAAGGAAUGAGUGGAGUCCGACUGAGGUGUUGAAAUGGGACUUGCUUCGGCGUCAGCCUCUAUCUUACUACUUGGGCACGAUCGAAAGGUUGUGCUCAGACACUGUAUCUUUGCCAAAGGAUUUAUAAAUUCUGCGCAGGGUGUCCCCUUUCAUUGACUUCUGCACAGGUCAAAACUUUUUAACAUAUUUCACCCCAAUUUUGCUAGUUGACUUUAUUCUGUUGCGAUUGAAAAGCUUUUUGGUUUUUCAAUUUGCGCACGUUUGAUUAAUUGAACGUUAAACACAAUACAACUCUUAGCAAUGGAUAUCUUGGUUCUC
This 421-nucleotide unclassified non-coding RNA is filed under the name fungal sp. RNAcentral's name for it is "partial internal transcribed spacer region". The stretch from base 1 to 46 matches the Rfam family "Eukaryotic small subunit ribosomal RNA", at positions 1786 to 1831 of the family's 1831-position model. The record is from RNAcentral. Lineage: Eukaryota; Fungi.